AUCGCUUACUUCCGGUAUACUUCCGGAAAAUUUGCAUAAAACUAGCAAGUGAGCUUUGUUCCCUGCAUAAUUCUAAAGACUCCUUGCCAGUUUAAGCAAACAGAAAUGGUCUUCUUGAUUACUUUUGUGACUAUCUAAAGCCGGUCCUUUAGAUAGUGAGUAGUGAGUAUUUUACGCGUCUAAUAGAUGGCGUGAAAGAAUAUUGUGUUGAUAUGUGCUUAUGGCGGCUCGUUGUCAACAGUUCAGCUACAGCUAUUUUCUUCAAAAAUUACCAAUGAAUUCGUUGGUAAAUUGGAUAUAUUUUGUGUGCAAUUUGUUAGGAGAAAAUGUGAAAGGGGCAUGCAGCCUACUGUCAACUAUUGUGUUGCAAAUCCUGGGAUCCUAGU
Daphnia pulex (common water flea) is the source of this 386-nucleotide long non-coding RNA. RefSeq lists it as uncharacterized. The record is from RefSeq and is a predicted model, not a curated record. The transcript is spliced from 2 exons. NCBI's taxonomy places the organism in Eukaryota, Metazoa, Arthropoda, Branchiopoda, Diplostraca, Daphniidae.